CUUUAGUUCAGGAGUGGUCAACUAAGUUUUAUAUUUCUAAAAGGGGUUAUAAUAUAAGUAGACACCUCUAGGUUUAGAUGGUAAAAGGAAAACAAAUAGAAAAGAGAGAAAAAAAAGGAAAAAGGAGCUUAAAACCAAAAAGAAAGAAAAAGAAAAAGAAAAAAAAAAGAACAAAGGCUUUACGGGAUUGUAAUUACCAGCCAAAACAAAACAAAACAAAGGUUUCUUUCUUUUGGUUCACUUCAUCUUCUACCCUAUUCAUUCUUCUCCUAUUUCUUGAUUCAAUACCCUAAAUUCACAAACUUUGUUGAACGUUUAUCACACAUCAAUCUUCUUCCUCUACCUUCAACAAUACUUGAUUUUGUGGGUAUUUAAAGAGUGAAAAUUUGGGUUUCAAAUUGGACGUUUUUGGGGCGAAAAUCGGAUUAAAAAAAGUAGUGAUUUUCGGGUCUUUUUCUUGAGUAAUUUCAUCUCUCUAUUCAAAUCACGGGUUUGUAGAGGAACCCUUUUGACUUGUAAUUGAGAUUGGUUGAUAGUGGUUUGCUAAUAAGGGCUUGAUGGUGACUAGCUUAUAUUGGGGUAAGAGUGUUGAUUUCACCUAGAUGUAGAUCUAUUAAAGUUAAGACUUCCGCUGCAAUAGUUUAGAAUUAUCGUUUGUUAUAGGAGUGUAUUAAUUAAUUACAUUUCCUUUUAGUUGUAAUAGUUAAUAAUUAAUUUAUGUAUUAGUAGUA
Long non-coding RNA from Beta vulgaris subsp. vulgaris (sugar beet), 731 nucleotides. RefSeq lists it as uncharacterized. The transcript has 3 exons. NCBI's taxonomy places the organism in Eukaryota, Viridiplantae, Streptophyta, Magnoliopsida, Caryophyllales, Amaranthaceae. The record is from RefSeq and is a predicted model, not a curated record.